This 750-nucleotide ribosomal RNA is filed under the name uncultured Actinomycetes bacterium. Its description in RNAcentral is "bacterial SSU rRNA". It matches the Rfam family "Bacterial small subunit ribosomal RNA", at positions 73 to 838 of the family's 1533-position model. Lineage: Bacteria; Bacillati; Actinomycetota; Actinomycetes. The record is from RNAcentral.
AGCACCUUCGGGUGUGAAUUAGCGGCGAACGGGUGAGGAACACGUGAAGAAUCUGCCUUCAACACUGGGAUAACUCCGGGAAACCGGGGCUAAUACCGGAUAUGAGCCUUGAUCGCAUGAUCGGGGCUGGAAAGUUUUUCGGUUGAAGAUGACUUCGCGGCCUAUCAGCUUGUUGGUGAGGUAAUGGCUCACCAAGGCGACGACGGGUAGCCGGCCUGAGAGGGCGACCGGCCACACUGGGACUGAGACACGGCCCAGACUCCUACGGGAGGCAGCAGUGGGGAAUAUUGGGCAAUGGAGGAAACUCUGACCCAGCGACGCCGCGUGAGGGAUGAAGGCCUUCGGGUUGUAAACCUCUUUCAGUAGGGAAGAAGCGAAAGUGACGGUACCUACAGAAGAAGCACCGGCUAACUAUGUGCCAGCAGCCGCGGUAAUACAUAGGGUGCAAGCGUUGUCCGGAAUUAUUGGGCGUAAAGAGCUCGUAGGUGGUUCGAUACGUCGGAUGUGAAAAUCAGGGGCUCAACCCCUGACCUGCAUCCGAUACGGUCGAGCUAGAGUUUGGUAGGGGAGACUGGAAUUCCUGGUGUAGCGGUGGAAUGCGCAGAUAUCAGGAGGAACACCGAUGGCGAAGGCAGGUCUCUGGGCCAAUACUGACACUGAGGAGCGAAAGCGUGGGGAGCGAACAGGAUUAGAUACCCUGGUAGUCCACGCCGUAAACGGUGGGCGCUAGUUGUGCGAACCUUCCACGGU